Long non-coding RNA from Gossypium arboreum, 606 nucleotides. RefSeq lists it as uncharacterized. The record is from RefSeq and is a predicted model, not a curated record. The transcript has 3 exons. NCBI's taxonomy places the organism in Eukaryota, Viridiplantae, Streptophyta, Magnoliopsida, Malvales, Malvaceae.
AAUAGAAUAUCCUAUUACGGGUGUAUUUCAUUCCGGACUUAAGCAAAGAUUUUUAGAGAUUUCUAUUCUAUUGCCUUUUCACCGUUUAGCUAUUCCUUGCUUGAAGAACCCUAUUCUACCCUUACCAAAAUUUCACCUCAAAAACAUUCUCAAUUGGCAGCCAUUUCACAUACCCUUCUACUCCGGUAUUCCUCCCCUUCAUCCAAGGUUAGCUUUUUGAAAGAAUUUUAGAAAUUCCAGCAACAUGGCUUAAAGGAGGAGCCACUGGUGAGGUUAUGUUUUCUCCGCAGCGAUUGAGAUCUAAACAUUUGAGAAAGAUGGUUUUAGCAAAAAAAUGAACUUGAACGUUGCACCUAAAAUUUGAUCCAGAAGAAGGAAGAACAUUGACUGGAUGAAAAUCAAGUAAACCUUGGCUUGAUGUCUGUUAAUAAAAACAGCAAAAGUGAGAUAUGAUUGCUUAGAAAGGAAAAUUUUUCCUGUUUUUUUGUUGUUAUGUUCCAGUAGUCUUGAAUGCUUUAGUUAUUUUAUAGGUGCUAAUGGUACAUUCCAGUCUUUUAAGAUUAAUUCAAUAAGAUAAAUAAAACAAAACCUGGGUUUUAAGUAAGA